GCUGCCUUAGCUCAGUUGGGAGAGUGCCAGACUGAAAAUCUGUACAUGUAGGAAUUCAUAGGUCUCGCGUUCGAUCCGCGAAGGUGGCA
Molecule: non-coding RNA, 89 nt
Organism: Pelagophyceae sp. CCMP2097
Lineage: Eukaryota; Pelagophyceae
Source: the annotation of a GenBank genome assembly